Molecule: long non-coding RNA, 1152 nt
Organism: Neopelma chrysocephalum (saffron-crested tyrant-manakin)
Lineage: Eukaryota; Metazoa; Chordata; Aves; Passeriformes; Pipridae
Exons: 2
Source: RefSeq, a predicted model, not a curated record
UGGGGCCGGACAUGGGGCCGGACAUGGAGCCUUCCCGCCCUCGGGCCCUGAGGGGCGAGCGGGACCAGGAGCUUUCCCCGCCCCGAGGCUCUGAGGGGCGGGCGGUGCCGCCCUGAAUUUCCUGAAUUUGUAAGGGUCUGGGAAGGAAACCAUUUAUCCUCUGAAGGCGACAUAACGGCGUGGUCUAGGUUGACCUUGCUGCUAUCUCUGGCCUCUUUAAAAAACAAAUGGCAACAAGAGUAACGCUUAUACAGUGGUUUGCAUGAAUAUCUACGUCUAAUGACUUGGUUAUGAGAAGCCUUGUUUCCAUUUUCAAACCUUUUGUCGUGAUUUCAGGGAGUUUCACUGUAACUGUCGCCUGCCUUGCUCUGGUCACUCGUAUCUCCUGUGUGAGAGCACCCCUUGUUUUGUAAGAGGACUUUGAUAUAACUCUCCUGUGAGGGGCCAGAGGCUGAGGAGGGUCCCUGUGGCAGGCAGGGAGCACGUUUUCUUUUGGUCAUCAGACUUCUCCCACUGGUUUUAUGGCAAACACCACAGAGCUCAUGGCUGUGAAGGCCUCAAAUAGUUCUGCAAAACAACGUGUUGUUUUCCUUCUUCAGGUAAAGAAUAUCAGGUUGAUGCAGUGGAGUUAAUAAUGAUGAAAAGGGAAGAAAUUUGUGUUCCCAGCCUUUAAAGGGAACGAGGCUCACAAACCGAGUGCCCCGUUCUGUGUUGGCUCCUCAUUUUCACGGAAAAGACUAUUAAGUUUGGAAAAGACCUCCAAGGAAUGAGCUUAAGCCUGACCAUCUUCAGAAACAGCAUUUGGAGACAGGAUAGUUGAUUUUAUCCAGAAAAUAUAAUAUGGUCAACUGGAAUUUACUUCCAUGGCAUGAUUUCUCAAUUGGUUAAGAGCAGUUGCUUAUUCAGAAAUUGCUUCCUUAUGAUCUUUCUGUUGAACAGCCACUGAGACAGGAAAAAACCUGUGUUUUUUUUCCUUAUAUUUUUUUCCUUUGAGCCUCUCCACUCUCAUCUCUGGUCUUAUAUUAGGAAGUGCUCUUAUUUUUACAAUUUAAAUUGGUAAAUUUGUACAUUAAUUUCUAAGAGGAAAAUGCUUUCAUUACUCCAUAAAUGCAUUUGAGCCUGCAAUUUGCUUUUUUUCCGUGAGAUUUAAAA